GGGCCGUUAGCUCAGUUGGUAGAGCAGAUGACUCUUAAUCAUCGGGUCGUAGGUUCGAGUCCUACACGGCCCA
This 73-nucleotide transfer RNA is filed under the name Pseudomonadota bacterium. Its description in RNAcentral is "tRNA-Lys". It matches the Rfam family "tRNA". From Rfam's summary of the family: Transfer RNA (tRNA) molecules are approximately 80 nucleotides in length. Their secondary structure includes four short double-helical elements and three loops (D, anti-codon, and T loops). Lineage: Bacteria; Pseudomonadati; Pseudomonadota. The record is from RNAcentral. RNAcentral also lists the same sequence under 4 other names.